GAUGAAGAACGCAGUGAAAUGCGAUACUUGGUGUGAAUUGCAGAAUCCCGUGAACCAUCGAGUCUUUGAACGCAAGUUGCGCCCGAAGCCAUCAGGUUGAGGGCACGUCUGCCUGGGCGUCACAUAUCGUUGCCCAAUGCCUAUUGCAGUGCAAUAGGAAUUUCUAGGGCGAAUGAUGGCUUCCCGUGAGCGUUGUUGCCUCGCGGUUGGUUGAAAAUCGAGUCCUUGGUAGGGUGUGCCAUGGUAGAUGGUGGUCGAGUUAGAACGAUACCGAUCAUGUGCAUGCUCCCCAAAAUAUGGCCUCUAUGACCCACACGCGUCUUUUGACGCUCAUGACGAGACCUCAGGUCAGGCGGGGCUACCCGCUGAGUUUAAGCAUAUCAAUAAGCGGAGGA
Molecule: unclassified non-coding RNA, 395 nt
Filed under: soil metagenome
Description: partial contains 5.8S ribosomal RNA, internal transcribed spacer 2, and large subunit ribosomal RNA
Rfam family: 5.8S ribosomal RNA (bases 1-122)
Source: RNAcentral